GACGAACGCUGGCGGCGUGCUUAACACAUGCCAGUCGAACGGAAAGGCCCUGCUUUUGUGGGGUGCUCGAGUGCCAAACGGGUGAGUAACACGUGGGUAACCUGCCCUUGACUUUGGGUUAACUUAAGGAAACUGGGGCUAAUCCCGGAAAGGAGCUCCUGCUGCUUGGUGGGGGUUGGAAAGUUUCGGCGGUUGGGGAUGGACUCGCGGCUUAUCAGCUUGUUGGUGGGGUAGUGGCUUACCAAGGCUUUGACGGGUAGCCGGCCUGAGAGGGUGACCGGCCACAUUGGGACUGAGAUACGGCCCAGACUCCUACGGGAGGCAGCAGUGGGGAAUAUUGCACAAUGGGCGGAAGCCUGAUGCAGCAACGCCGCGUGCGGGAUGACGGCCUUCGGGUUGUAAACCGCUUUCGCCUGUGACGAAGCGUGAGUGACGGUAAUGGGUAAAGAAGCACCGGCUAACUACGUG
RNAcentral lists this ribosomal RNA (468 nucleotides) under uncultured bacterium. RNAcentral describes it as "partial 16S ribosomal RNA". It matches the Rfam family "Bacterial small subunit ribosomal RNA", at positions 28 to 507 of the family's 1533-position model. The record is from RNAcentral.